This 253-nucleotide ribosomal RNA is filed under the name uncultured bacterium. RNAcentral's name for it is "partial 16S ribosomal RNA". It matches the Rfam family "Bacterial small subunit ribosomal RNA", at positions 524 to 776 of the family's 1533-position model. The record is from RNAcentral.
UACGGGGGGGGCAAGCGUUGUUCGGAAUUACUGGGCGUAAAGGGCGCGCAGGCGGGCGAGACAGUCUUUCGUGAAAUCCCACGGCUCAACCGUGGAACUGCGGGAGAUACUACUCGUCUUGAGUCCGGGAGAGGAGUGUGGAAUUCCCAGUGUAGCGGUGAAAUGCGUAGAUAUUGGGAGGAACACCGGUGGCGAAGGCGGCACUCUGGACCGGUACUGACGCUGAGGCGCGAAAGCUAGGGGAGCAAACGGG